RNAcentral lists this non-coding RNA (21 nucleotides) under Caenorhabditis elegans. The record is from RNAcentral. Lineage: Eukaryota; Metazoa; Nematoda; Chromadorea; Rhabditida; Rhabditidae.
UAUGUUUUUCGAUUACAUUCC